ACGCUGGCGGGCGUGCUUAACACAUGCAAGUCGAACGCUGAAGCCCAGCUUGCUGGGUGGAUGAGUGGCGAACGGGUGAGUAACACGUGAGUAACCUGCCCCCUUCUUUGGGAUGACGCCCGGAAACGGGUGCUAAUACUGGAUAUUCACUGAUCUUCGCAUGGGGGUUGGUGGAAAGGUUUUUUCUGGUGGGGGAUGGGCUCGCGGCCUAUCAGCUUGUUGGUGGGGUGAUGGCCUACCAAGGCUUUGACGGGUAGCCGGCCUGAGAGGGUGACCGGUCACAUUGGGACUGAGAUACGGCCCAGACUCCUACGGGAGGCAGCAGUGGGGAAUAUUGCACAAUGGGCGAAAGCCUGAUGCAGCGACGCCGCGUGAGGGAUGACGGCCUUCGGGUUGUAAACCUCUUUCGCUCAUGGUCAAGCCGCAGCUUUGGGUUGUGGUGAGGGUAGUGGGUAAAGAAGCGCCGGCUAACUACGUGCCAGCAGCCGCGGUAAUACGUAGGGCGCGAGCGUUGUCCGGAAUUAUUGGGCGUAAAGGGCUUGUAGGCGGUUGGUCGCGUCUGCCGUGAAAUCCUCUGGCUUAACUGGGGGCGUGCGGUGGGUACGGGCUGACUUGAGUGCGGUAGGGGAGACUGGAACUCCUGGUGUAGCGGUGGAAUGCGCAGAUAUCAGGAAGAACACCGGUGGCGAAGGCGGGUCUCUGGGCCGUUACUGACGCUGAGGAGCGAAAGCGUGGGGAGCGAACAGGAUUAGAUACCCUGGUAGUCCACGCUGUAAACGUUGGGCACUAGGUGUGGGGGCCACCCGUGGUUUCUGCGCCGUAGCUAACGCUUUAAGUGCCCCGCCUGGGGAGUACGGCCGCAAGGCUAAAACUCAAAGGAAUUGACGGGGGCCCGCACAAGCGGCGGAGC
This 910-nucleotide ribosomal RNA is filed under the name uncultured bacterium. RNAcentral describes it as "bacterial SSU rRNA". It matches the Rfam family "Bacterial small subunit ribosomal RNA", at positions 33 to 938 of the family's 1533-position model. The record is from RNAcentral.